AUUGAACGCUGGCGGCAUGCCUUACACAUGAAAGUCGAACGGCAGCGGGCCUUCGGGUGCCGGCGAGUGGCGAACGGGUGAGUAAUGCAUCGGAACGUGCCAUUGAGUGGGGGAUAACGUAGCGAAAGUUACGCUAAUACCGCAUAUUCUGUGAGCAGGAAAGCAGGGGACCGCAAGGCCUUGCGCUCUUUGAGCGGCCGAUGUCAGAUUAGCUAGUUGGUGAGGUAAAGGCUUACCAAGGCGACGAUCUGUAGCGGGUCUGAGAGGAUGAUCCGCCACACUGGAACUGAGACACGGUCCAGACUCCUACGGGAGGCAGCAGUGGGGAAUUUUGGACAAUGGGCGCAAGCCUGAGUCCAGCCAUGCCGCGUGAGUGAAGAAGGCCUUC
Molecule: ribosomal RNA, 388 nt
Filed under: uncultured bacterium
Lineage: Bacteria
Description: bacterial SSU rRNA
Rfam family: Bacterial small subunit ribosomal RNA
Source: RNAcentral